RNAcentral lists this ribosomal RNA (493 nucleotides) under uncultured bacterium. RNAcentral describes it as "partial 16S ribosomal RNA". It matches the Rfam family "Bacterial small subunit ribosomal RNA", at positions 28 to 507 of the family's 1533-position model. The record is from RNAcentral.
GACGAACGCUGGCGGCGUGCUUAACACAUGCAAGUCGAACGGUGAAGGGACCGGUUUUUGCUGGUUCUGGAUGAGUGGCGAACGGGUGAGUAACACGUGAGUAACCUGCCCCCUUCUUCUGGAUAACCGCAUGAAAGUGUGGCUAAUACGGGAUAUUCUGCGCCUGCUGCAUGGUGGGUGUGGGAAAGAUAUUGUUUCGGUGGGGGAUGGGCUCGCGGCCUAUCAGCUUGUUGGUGGGGUGAUGGCCUACCAAGGCGGUGACGGGUAGCCGGCCUGAGAGGGUGGGCGGUCACACGGGGAAUGGGACACGGCCCAGACUCCUACGGGAGGCAGCAGUGGGGAAUAUUGCACAAUGGGAGAAAGCCUGAUGCAGCGACGCCGCGUGAGGGAUGGAGGCCUGCGGGUUGUAAACCUCUUUCGCCAGUGAAGCAGGCCUGUCCCUUUUGUGGGUGGGUUGACGGUAGCUGGAGAAGAAGCGCCGGCUAACUACGUG